CCCCCACUCUGAUGGUCUCCACCUUUACCUUCAGACUUCAGGAUUCCAUGCUCAGGCAGCUCUGUAAGGAAUGCUUUAGACCUGGAAAAUUCUAACUCAUCCCUGGACUGCAACACCUCAGCCUUCAGGAAGCCCUCAUCACCUCUUGCCAGCAUUUAGCCCUGGAUGUGAUUCCACAGAAACUGUCCAGCACACAGAAGGUCACACCUCCAUAGGUGUUUACGGAGCCUGGGCACAUUUGGAACAGAGCCCUUGAUGAUUAAAGCGCCUCGGGACAGAAAAGCCAACUGAAACAUUAGUGAAAAUGUAAAAAAGAAAGCAAAACAACAGCAUGGAAGGGAACAGCUCAAGGCAAAAGCCCAGGAAUAUGACUAAAAGCAUCACUUUGUCCCCAGCUUGAGAAGUGACUCUUCACUUUGGGCUCUGCCCUCUUCUGGAUUCCAGCCAACCCAGGACUAGACCAAUUGUCAUCAUCAUUAUUAACUAGUAACAUUAUCCCUGGCCAUUUUGGAUUCAGGCAUACCUGGUUUACAUCUCAGUUCUGCCAGUUCUGGCUGUGUGGCUGGGAUUGGUAAACUAACCUCUCUGUGCCUCAGUGUACUGCUGAGUCCUGGGUAGAGACUAGGCAGAAUAAUGCAAGUGAAGCUAUAAGUUGAAGGCCUGGCA
This 666-nucleotide long non-coding RNA is filed under the name Fukomys damarensis (Damara mole-rat). Its description in RNAcentral is "lncRNA (ENSFDAG00000023945.1)". The record is from RNAcentral. Lineage: Eukaryota; Metazoa; Chordata; Mammalia; Rodentia; Bathyergidae.